Molecule: ribosomal RNA, 434 nt
Filed under: uncultured Oscillospiraceae bacterium
Lineage: Bacteria; Bacillati; Bacillota; Clostridia; Eubacteriales; Oscillospiraceae
Description: bacterial SSU rRNA
Rfam family: Bacterial small subunit ribosomal RNA
Source: RNAcentral
ACGGAAGGCAGCAGUGGGGAAUAUUGCACAAUGGGCGAAAGCCUGAUGCAGCAACGCCGCGUGAAGGACGACGUAUUUCGGUAUGUAAACUUCUAUCAGCAGGGAGGAUAAUGACGGUACCUGACUAAGAAGCCCCGGCUAACUACGUGCCAGCAGCCGCGGUAAUACGUAGGGAGCAAGCGUUAUCCGGAUUUACUGGGUGUAAAGGGCGUGUAGGCGGGACAUCAAGUCAGAUGUGAAAGCACGAGGCUCAACUUCGUGUCUGCAUUUGAAACUGACGUUCUUGAGUGUUGGAGAGGCUAACGGAACUCCUAGUGUAGCGGUGAAAUGCGUAGAUAUUAGGAAGAACACCAGUGGCGAAGGCGGUUAGCUGGACAAUAACUGACGCUGAGGCGCGAAAGCACGGGGAGCAAACAGGAUUAGAUACCCUGGUA